CCUACCCCUAGAGGCAUUGCAGGUGUGGCUGCUGUGUCACGUGUGCAUCAUUAGGUGGCAGAGAGAAUCUAUGUCUACACCAGUGUUUUGACCUGUGAACAUCUGGUAAUAAUUAGUAGC
Molecule: small nucleolar RNA, 120 nt
Organism: Rattus norvegicus (Norway rat)
Lineage: Eukaryota; Metazoa; Chordata; Mammalia; Rodentia; Muridae
Product: small nucleolar RNA SNORA17
Source: Ensembl